This 70-nucleotide transfer RNA is filed under the name Canthophrys gongota (Gongota loach). Its description in RNAcentral is "tRNA-Trp". Lineage: Eukaryota; Metazoa; Chordata; Actinopteri; Cypriniformes; Cobitidae. The record is from RNAcentral.
AGAGACUUAGGAUAACCAAGACCUAGGACCUUCAAAGCCCUGAGUAGGAGUGAAAACCUCCUAGUCUCUG